UCCUGGCUCAGGACGAACGCGGGCGGCGUGCUUAACACAUGCAAGUCGAGCGGAAAGGCCCUUCGGGGUACUCGAGCGGCGAACGGGUGAGUAACACGUGAGUAACCUGCCUCUGACUUUGGGAUAACCCUCGGAAACGGGGGCUAAUACCGGGUAAGACCUCCUACUGCAUGGUGGGGGGUGGAAAGCUUUCGCGGUCAGAGAUGGGCUCGCGGCCUAUCAGCUUGUUGGUGGGGUGAUGGCCUACCAAGGCGACGACGGGUAGCCGGCCUGAGAGGGCGACCGGCCACACUGGGACUGAGACACGGCCCAGACUCCUACGGGAGGCAGCAGUGGGGAAUAUUGCACAAUGGGCGGAAGCCUGAUGCAGCGACGCCGCGUGAGGGAUGACGGCCUUCGGGUUGUAAACCUCUUUCGACCCUGACGAAGCGCAAGUGACGGUAGGGGGAGAAGAAGCGCCGGCCAACUACGUGCCAGCAGCCGCGGUAAGACGUAGGGCGCAAGCGUUGUCCGGAUUUAUUGGGCGUAAAGAGCUCGUAGGCGGCUCGUUGCGUCGGCUGUGAAAACCCAUGGCUUAACUGUGGGCUUGCAGCCGAUACGGGCGGGCUGGAGUUCGGUAGGGGAGACUGGAAUUCCUGGUGUAGCGGUGAAAUGCGCAGAUAUCAGGAGGAACACCGGUGGCGAAGGCGGGUCUCUGGGCCGAUACUGACGCUGAGGAGCGAAAGCGUGGGGAGCGAACAGGAUUAGAUACCCUGGUAGUCCACGCUGUAAACGUUGGGCGCUAGGUGUGGGGGGCCUCUCCGGUUCUCUGUGCCGCAGCUAACGCAUUAAGCGCCCCGCCUGGGGAGUACGGGCCGCAGGCUAAAACUCAAAG
RNAcentral lists this ribosomal RNA (874 nucleotides) under uncultured bacterium. RNAcentral's name for it is "bacterial SSU rRNA". It matches the Rfam family "Bacterial small subunit ribosomal RNA", at positions 17 to 906 of the family's 1533-position model. The record is from RNAcentral.